CGGGCGUUAAGUUGCAGGGUAUAGACCCGAAACCCGGUGAUCUAGCCAUGGGCAGGUUGAAGGUUGGGUAACACUAACUGGAGGACCGAACCGACUAAUGUUGAAAAAUUAGCGGAUGACCUGUGGCUGGGGGUGAAAGGCCAAUCAAACCGGGAGAUAGCUGGUUCUCCCCGAAAGCUAUUUAGGUAGCGCCUCGUGAAUUCAUCUCCGGGGGUAGAGCACUGUUUCGGCUAGGGGGCCAUCCCGGCUUACCAACCCGAUGCAAACUGCGAAUACCGGAGAAUGUUAUCACGGGAGACACACGGCGGGUGCUAACGUCCGUCGUGAAGAGGGAAACAACCCAGACCGCCAGCUAAGGUCCCAAAGUCAUGGUUAAGUGGGAAACGAUGUGGGAAGGCCCAGACAGCCAGGAUGUUGGCUUAGAAGCAGCCAUCAUUUAAAGAAAGCGUAAUAGCUCACUGGUCGAGUCGGCCUGCGCGGAAGAUGUAACGGGGCUAAACCAUGCACCGAAGCUGCGGCAGCGACGCUGAUGCGUUGUUGGGUAGGGGAGCGUUCUGUAAGCCUGCGAAGGUGGCCUGUGAGGGUUGCUGGAGGUAUCAGAAGUGCGAAUGCUGACAUAAGUAACGAUAAAGCGGGUGAAAAGCCCGCUCGCCGGAAGACCAAGGGUUCCUGUCCAACGUUAAUCGGGGCAGGGUGAGUCGACCCCUAAGGCGAGGCCGAAAGGCGUAGUCGAUGGGAAACGGGUUAAUAUUCCCGUACUUGGUGUUACUGCGAAGGGGGGACGGAGAAGGCUAUGUUGGCCGGGCGACGGUUGUCCCGGUUUAAGCGUGUAGGUGUGUGUUCCAGGUAAAUCCGGUU
RNAcentral lists this ribosomal RNA (858 nucleotides) under Salmonella enterica. RNAcentral's name for it is "partial 23S ribosomal RNA". It matches the Rfam family "Bacterial large subunit ribosomal RNA", at positions 689 to 1547 of the family's 2925-position model. Lineage: Bacteria; Pseudomonadati; Pseudomonadota; Gammaproteobacteria; Enterobacterales; Enterobacteriaceae. The record is from RNAcentral.